CAAUAGCGUAUAUUAAAGUUGUUGCGGUUAAAAAGCUCGUAGUUGGAUUUCUGCCGAGGACGACCGGUCCGCCCUCCGGGUGAGCAUCUGGCUCGGCCUAGGCAUCUUCUUGGGGAGCGUAUCUGCACUUCAUUGUGUGGUGCGGUAUCCAAGACUUUUACUUUGAGGAAAUUAGAGUGUUUCAAGCAGGCCCACGCCUUGAAUACAUUAGCAUGGAAUAAUAAGGUAGGACCUCGGUUCUAUUUUGUUGGUUUCUAGAAUUGAGGUAAUGAUUAAUAGGGAUAGUUGGGGGCAUUCGUAUUUAACUGUCAGAGGUGAAAUUCUUGGAUUUGUUAAAGGCGGACUACUGCGAAAGCAUUUGCCAAGGAUGUUUUCAUUGA
This 380-nucleotide ribosomal RNA is filed under the name uncultured eukaryote. Its description in RNAcentral is "partial 18S ribosomal RNA". It matches the Rfam family "Eukaryotic small subunit ribosomal RNA", at positions 592 to 976 of the family's 1831-position model. The record is from RNAcentral.